CCGGUUCCACUCUCCCCAUUCCGGACAUCGUCUCAGACAGGCAGAAUUUUGUGCAUCCUAACCUAGGCAUCCGGUGAUCUAUCCUUCCUCCCACACACCCCCACCCCACCAUCGUGGAUAUCGUCGGAGCCACCGCUCGUAGAGGAGGCCAAGCCAUCGGCCUCCCCACCGUAGGAAUCAGAACCCUCUAGUAGAGGGGGUGCCGCCGCCGUGCUAGGGGUGGCCCAUCAGGCAAACAUGCUAUGGGUCGGUAACCUUUCCACGCAUGUAGGCGAGGAUGACGCCACUGCAGUCUUCGCCUCACAAAGGGCACUUGAAUGCAUCGUCAUGCACACUGACUCUCACAGCAAUGCCUUCAUCCUCUAUAGCUCGCUCGAGGCACUCCGCGGGUACAAGGUCAAGGGCUCCUUCAUCCGCGUAAAGUUUUUCCAGCCAGUUUUCUCUUCACACACUUCUCCACCUCCCAGAUCUACACUCACCUUGGAUCCCCCAUGAUCUUGCUGCAGGUUGUCAUCCCAUGAAGUGAUUUCUUGGGCACUUACAAUUUUGGUGCUGGUGAUUUGGCAUGACGCUGCACGAGAGGGAUAUUUAUCAUCCCAUGGGCAAGCUCUUUUAUGAAUUUUAGGAUGUGUUGGCUUCUUAUAUAGUCCUAGAUUUUUUAUUGUUCCUUGUUCUACGGUGAAAUUGUUAUGUUGGUGUUGUGUAAAGACUGUUGCCCUCAUGAUACUUACUAGUGUAAUUUGUAACACCCCGGAUGUAACUUUCCAUAUUUGUAACUCCAACUCUUGCCAUUUUCGGCUAUGUGUUAUGAUAUUCCCUCCGUGGUUGGGUUUUGUU
RNAcentral lists this long non-coding RNA (837 nucleotides) under Triticum aestivum (bread wheat). Its description in RNAcentral is "long non-coding RNA (TAES_LNC019369)". Lineage: Eukaryota; Viridiplantae; Streptophyta; Magnoliopsida; Poales; Poaceae. The record is from RNAcentral.